GGGGCUGCAAUGGUUUCGACGGAGGCAACAAAACACAAUAAGCGGGCGGAUGCGCCUACCAUCCUAAAAAUGGGCAUCUUUAUAAAUUAAAGAACAACUAUAACGAACUUCCGGUAGCCGCUUAAGGCUGCCCGUCCGAGUCGGAUAAGUCCACGCACCGACCGGGCGUCGAAUAGUGGAGAACGUGAGUGCGAUGAGCUUGGACGCGCACCAUGAACAAAAAGCUACCGAACCGCGCCGCGUGACGGCUUGCGACGCGAUGAGGGAACAGGCACACGACGUCUGACGCCGAGGCUGCCGCAAUAACCGUCUGCGCCCGGAGAAGCUUGUGCGGAGAGGUUUUCGGACGGGGGUUCAAUUCCCCCCAGCUCCACCA
RNAcentral lists this transfer-messenger RNA (376 nucleotides) under Oscillospiraceae bacterium. It matches the Rfam family "transfer-messenger RNA". From Rfam's summary of the family: Bacterial tmRNA, also known as 10Sa RNA or SsrA, is named for its dual tRNA and mRNA-like properties. Lineage: Bacteria; Bacillati; Bacillota; Clostridia; Eubacteriales; Oscillospiraceae. The record is from RNAcentral.